GAUGAACGCUGGCGGCGUGCCUAAUACAUGCAAGUCGAGCGAACAGACGAGGAGCUUGCUCCUCUGACGUUAGCGGCGGACGGGUGAGUAACACGUGGAUAACCUACCUAUAAGACUGGGAUAACUUCGGGAAACCGGAGCUAAUACCGGAUAAUAUAUUGAACCGCAUGGUUCAAUAGUGAAAGACGGUUUUGCUGUCACUUAUAGAUGGAUCCGCGCCGCAUUAGCUAGUUGGUAAGGUAACGGCUUACCAAGGCAACGAUGCGUAGCCGACCUGAGAGGGUGAUCGGCCACACUGGAACUGAGACACGGUCCAGACUCCUACGGGAGGCAGCAGUAGGGAAUCUUCCGCAAUGGGCGAAAGCUUGACAGAGCAACGCCGCGUGAGUGAUGAAGGUCUUCGGAUCGUAAAACUCUGUUAUUAGGGAAGAACAAAUGUGUAAGUAACUAUGCACGUCUUGACGGUACCUAAUCAGAAAGCCACGGCUAACUACGUG
Molecule: ribosomal RNA, 497 nt
Filed under: uncultured bacterium
Lineage: Bacteria
Description: partial 16S ribosomal RNA
Rfam family: Bacterial small subunit ribosomal RNA
Source: RNAcentral